Molecule: ribosomal RNA, 303 nt
Filed under: uncultured bacterium
Lineage: Bacteria
Description: partial 16S ribosomal RNA
Rfam family: Bacterial small subunit ribosomal RNA
Source: RNAcentral
AGCAGUAGCCGCGGGAAUACGUAGGUGGCAAGCGUUGUCCGGAAUUAUUGGGCGUAAAGGGCUCGCAGGCGGUUUCUUAAGUCUGAUGUGAAAGCCCCCGGCUCAACCGGGGAGGGUCAUUGGAAACUGGGAAACUUGAGUGCAGAAGAGGAGAGUGGAAUUCCACGUGUAGCGGUGAAAUGCGUAGAGAUAUGGAGGAACACCAGUGGCGAAGGCGACUCUCUGGUCUGUAACUGACGCUGAGGAGCGAAAGCGUGGGGAGCGAACAGGAUUAGAUACCCGUGUAGUCCCUGUCUCUUAUAC